GAUGAACGCUGGCGGCGUGCCUAAUACAUGCAAGUCGAGCGAACAGAUGAGGAGCUUGCUCUUCUGACGUUAGCGGCGGACGGGUGAGUAACACGUGGAUAACCUACCUAUAAGACUGGGAUAACUUCGGGAAACCGGAGCUAAUACCGGAUAAUAUAUUGAACCGCAUGGUUCAAUAGUGAAAGACGGUUUUGCUGUCACUUAUAGAUGGAUCCGCGCCGCAUUAGCUAGUUGGUAAGGUAACGGCUUACCAAGGCAACGAUGCGUAGCCGACCUGAGAGGGUGAUCGGCCACACUGGAACUGAGACACGGUCCAGACUCCUACGGGAGGCAGCAGUAGGGAAUCUUCCGCAAUGGGCGAAAGCCUGACGGAGCAAUGCCGCGUGAGUGAUGAAGGUCUUCGGAUCGUAAAACUCUGUUAUUAGGGAAGAACAAAUGUGUAAGUAACUAUGCACGUCUUGACGGUACCUAAUCAGAAAGCCACGGCUAACUACGUG
This 497-nucleotide ribosomal RNA is filed under the name uncultured bacterium. RNAcentral describes it as "partial 16S ribosomal RNA". It matches the Rfam family "Bacterial small subunit ribosomal RNA", at positions 28 to 507 of the family's 1533-position model. The record is from RNAcentral.